RNAcentral lists this small RNA (151 nucleotides) under Marmota monax (woodchuck). The record is from RNAcentral. Lineage: Eukaryota; Metazoa; Chordata; Mammalia; Rodentia; Sciuridae.
GCUUGGCAUGGUGAUGCAUGCCUGUAAUCCCAGCGGCUUGGGAGGCUGAGGCAAGAGGAUCACAAGUUCAAACCCAGCCUCAGCAACUUAGUGAGGCUGUAAGCAACCCCCCCCCCCCCCCCCCCGCCCCGCCCGUGAGAUCUUGUCUCUA